AUUGAACGCUGGCGGCAGGCUUAACACAUGCAAGUCGAGCGGAGUGAUGGUGCUUGCACUAUCACUUAGCGGCGGACGGGUGAGUAAUGCUUAGGAAUCUGCCUAUUAGUGGGGGACAACAUCUCGAAAGGGAUGCUAAUACCGCAUACGUCCUACGGGAGAAAGCAGGGGAUCACUUGUGACCUUGCGCUAAUAGAUGAGCCUAAGUCGGAUUAGAUAGUUGGUGGGGUAAAGGCCUACCAAGGCGACGAUCUGUAGCGGGUCUGAGAGGAUGAUCCGCCACACUGGGACUGAGACACGGCCCAGACUCCUACGGGAGGCAGCAGUGGGGAAUAUUGGACAAUGGGGGGAACCCUGAUCCAGCCAUGCCGCGUGUGUGAAGAAGGCCUUAUGGUUGUAAAGCACUUUAAGCGAGGAGGAGGCUCUUUUGGUUAAUACCCAGGAUGAGUGGACGUUACUCGCAGAAUAAGCACCGGCUAACUCUGUGCCAGCAGCCGCGGUAA
This 503-nucleotide ribosomal RNA is filed under the name uncultured bacterium. Its description in RNAcentral is "partial 16S ribosomal RNA". It matches the Rfam family "Bacterial small subunit ribosomal RNA", at positions 30 to 523 of the family's 1533-position model. The record is from RNAcentral.